GUUCUGUCAUAUGUAAGUGUUGGAAAGCUUAGCUGGAUCUAUGUGUCAAUUUUGCCAGACAUCGGAACGCUUCAACGAUCGCCUUUGCAAGCUCCUCCUUCAAAGCGGCGGAGGGAUAUAGAUCCUCUUUCCCUGUUAGCAUACACAUAUGACUAACACAAAUGCGUACCAGCAACCUCCGUUCAUCUAAUUCCAAAAUAGCUUCAUUCCGCUCCAAGUAGGAAUUUGUUAUCUUCCGUCCCUCCGCGCUAUCUUUCAAGAUAGAAAAUAUUUCAAAUUAGGUUGACCUAAUAAAAAAAACGAGUUCAAAGAAAUUGUUAUAAAAUGCUGCAUUGCUCAUUUACAUAUA
Long non-coding RNA from Daphnia pulicaria, 349 nucleotides. RefSeq lists it as uncharacterized. The record is from RefSeq and is a predicted model, not a curated record. The transcript has 2 exons. Lineage: Eukaryota; Metazoa; Arthropoda; Branchiopoda; Diplostraca; Daphniidae.